RNAcentral lists this transfer RNA (67 nucleotides) under Provanna sp. JWQ-2014. RNAcentral's name for it is "tRNA-Leu". It matches the Rfam family "tRNA". From Rfam's summary of the family: Transfer RNA (tRNA) molecules are approximately 80 nucleotides in length. Their secondary structure includes four short double-helical elements and three loops (D, anti-codon, and T loops). The record is from RNAcentral. Lineage: Eukaryota; Metazoa; Mollusca; Gastropoda; Provannidae.
AUAAAGAUGGCAGAAAAGUGCAUUAGAUUUAAGCUCUAAAUAUAAAGAUUAAUAUCUUUUCUUUAUA